This is a long non-coding RNA of Boleophthalmus pectinirostris (great blue-spotted mudskipper), 238 nucleotides long. RefSeq lists it as uncharacterized. NCBI's taxonomy places the organism in Eukaryota, Metazoa, Chordata, Actinopteri, Gobiiformes, Gobiidae. The record is from RefSeq and is a predicted model, not a curated record. The transcript is spliced from 3 exons.
AGGUUUCUCCCUCAAGAUGUUCGGGAUUGUGCAGUUGAAGAAAAUCCUGCCAGAAGAAGCAAAAGGUUUGGCACUGGCUCAAAGAAAGUUGCUUGACAUGUAGAAUCUCCUGACCCGCGGAUGACACCAGCAGGACGUCCACAGAGAGGACUAAAGGCCAGCACCCCACAACAGCCACACAGCAGCUCAAGCCAGUGCUCAAAACAUGGCAACAGCUUCAAAACUUACUUAAUACGAC